RNAcentral lists this ribosomal RNA (254 nucleotides) under uncultured bacterium. RNAcentral describes it as "partial 16S ribosomal RNA". It matches the Rfam family "Bacterial small subunit ribosomal RNA", at positions 524 to 776 of the family's 1533-position model. The record is from RNAcentral.
UACGGAGGGUGCGAGCGUUGUCCGGAAUCACUGGGCGUAAAGGGCGCGUAGGCGGCCCGCGCAAGCGUGCGGUGAAAGCCCGGGGCUCAACCCCGGGUCGGCCGUGCGGACUGCGGGGCUCGAGCACUGUAGGGGCAGAUGGAAUUCCGGGUGUAGCGGUGGAAUGCGUAGAGAUCCGGAAGAACACCGGUGGCGAAGGCGGUCUGCUGGGCAGUAGCUGACGCUGAGGCGCGACAGCGUGGGGAGCGAACAGG